Molecule: long non-coding RNA, 965 nt
Organism: Cyanistes caeruleus (blue tit)
Lineage: Eukaryota; Metazoa; Chordata; Aves; Passeriformes; Paridae
Source: RefSeq, a predicted model, not a curated record
GUUAACUAAACCACAGCACCAAGUGCCCUGUCCAGUCAUUUCUUGAACACUUCCAGGGAUGGUCACUGAGAACCUUUUGAUGUAGCCUUGGACUUGCCUGGAGUACUGAGGAGGGAUGGACAACCCCAUGUUCAAUGAACACAGCAGCUCAGAGUGUUUCACUGGUAUGGAAGAUGAAUUGCUGCCAGAGUGAAGCUAUGGUUCCUGCAGUCUGGCAUGCAUCCGUAGCCCUCUAAGUUUCACUGCUUUCCACAGAUCAGUAAAAGCUCUUGAAAUGCCCUUCUGCAGCUUGCAACACAAAGGAAAAACAACAUAUGCACAGAAGAAAGAGGAACUCCUCCUAAGCUGAAUCAACACAGCUUGUCUUUUCCCAAAAGACAAGGAAAAAAAACAGUUCUUAAGGAAGAUUUUAGAUACCAAAGCAGUCAGAACUGUUCCAGGGGCCUCAAGUGUGUACCAAGGCCAGGGUGCCUGGGAUAUGGUCCAGGUGAUCCUCUGGACAGGGUCUGCUGGCUGAAGGAGAAGGCCAGAUCUGGAGCUGUGAAGAUUUAUGGGAAAGGUUUGCCCAGCCGUGCUUCAAGGUGGUAGCAGAGAUCAAUCUCCAGCUCUCCUGAAUUAAAGGUACACUCUCCCUGACUACUUGGGAUUCCACUGUCCCUGAUGGGUAUGGGAUGGGAACAGGUGAUCAUGCAGUAAACCUUCCAGGCAUGAUCAUACAGUUCUUCCAGUGAACAGCUCCUGGUGUUUAGAGAGAGCUAGGAGUAGCUCCUGAUGAUCCUGUUCUGGCUGAAAAUUCUGAAGUAAUCAUUCUCUAUAACCUCUCUUUUGUUACCCAGAACCAGUCGUCUACGACCCCCUGACUCUGUCCAGGAUUAGCGGCAAUCUUCCAUUCUUUGCUGGUAACAAAAGAGAGGGGCAAGUAGAAAAAAAGAAGAAAUUAAGUAAAACAAGUGGAUCAAAACUCA